GAUGAACGCUGGCGGCGUGCCUAAUACAUGCAAGUAGAACGCUGAAGGAAGGAGCUUGCUCUUUCCGGAUGAGUUGCGAACGGGUGAGUAACGCGUAGGUAACCUGCCUGGUAGCGGGGGAUAACUAUUGGAAACGAUAGCUAAUACCGCAUAACAGUAGAUGUUGCAUGAUAUCUACUUAAAAGGUGCAAUUGCACCACUACCAGAUGGACCUGCGUUGUAUUAGCUAGUUGGUGAGGUAACGGCUCACCAAGGCGACGAUACAUAGCCGACCUGAGAGGGUGAUCGGCCACACUGGGACUGAGACACGGCCCAGACUCCUACGGGAGGCAGCAGUAGGGAAUCUUCGGCAAUGGACGGAAGUCUGACCGAGCAACGCCGCGUGAGUGAAGAAGGUUUUCGGAUCGUAAAGCUCGGUUGUGAGAGAAGAACGAGUGUGAGAGUGGAAAGUUCACACUGUGACGGUAUCUUACCAGAAAGGGACGGCUAACUACGUG
This 497-nucleotide ribosomal RNA is filed under the name uncultured bacterium. RNAcentral describes it as "partial 16S ribosomal RNA". It matches the Rfam family "Bacterial small subunit ribosomal RNA", at positions 28 to 507 of the family's 1533-position model. The record is from RNAcentral.